This 385-nucleotide ribosomal RNA is filed under the name uncultured bacterium. RNAcentral describes it as "bacterial SSU rRNA". It matches the Rfam family "Bacterial small subunit ribosomal RNA", at positions 30 to 417 of the family's 1533-position model. The record is from RNAcentral.
AUUGAACGCUGGCGGCAUGCCUUACACAUGCAAGUCGAACGGCAGCACGGGGCAACCUGGUGGCGAGUGGCGAACGGGUGAGUAAUGCAUCGGAACGUGCCAUUGAGUGGGGGAUAACGUAGCGAAAGUUGCGCUAAUACCGCAUAUUCUGUGAGCAGGAAAGCAGGGGACCGCAAGGCCUUGCGCUUUUUGAGCGGCCGAUGUCAGAUUAGCUAGUUGGUGAGGUAACGGCUUACCAAGGCGACGAUCUGUAGCGGGUCUGAGAGGAUGAUCCGCCACACUGGAACUGAGACACGGUCCAGACUCCUACGGGAGGCAGCAGUGGGGAAUUUUGGACAAUGGGCGCAAGCCUGAUCCAGCCAUGCCGCGUGAGUGAAGAAGGCCU